Grammomys surdaster is the source of this 481-nucleotide long non-coding RNA. RefSeq lists it as uncharacterized. The record is from RefSeq and is a predicted model, not a curated record. NCBI's taxonomy places the organism in Eukaryota, Metazoa, Chordata, Mammalia, Rodentia, Muridae. The transcript is spliced from 3 exons.
GAAUCAUGGUAACUAUAUUUUGUCUCCUGCUGCUUCAGCUAAAGAUAUGGAUACCCUAGACUGUGAAGAACAGUUAGAAGGUGAGGCAAUGCUAGGACCUCAUGAGCUAAGAUUGCCCCUUGAAAUGGAGCAUGCUCAUCUUUGUUGCCCAUGCCCGUGCUGCUGCUGAACAGCUCAUUGAGAACCUAGAGCCAGAGAUUACCAACCAAUUUGUGAGAAAAAAAAUUCUCUGAUUGCUGGGAAGCACACCUCAGAGUCCCGGAGCACAUGGAUAUUCUGGACUGUGAGGACAUUUGCACCUGAUAAGAUCUGGACAGCUGAACAAAUUAGAAGGAACACAGCCAGCAACAGUCAUCCAAACCUUGGGUAAACGAAAUAAGUUGCUGCCUGCUCUCUCCAAGAAUCAACACAAACUACAAAGACACAAAACUCUGAAUAAGAACUGAAAACUUAUGAUCACUGCUGGAAACUUUCUCCACUG